This 279-nucleotide ribosomal RNA is filed under the name uncultured bacterium. RNAcentral's name for it is "partial 16S ribosomal RNA". It matches the Rfam family "Bacterial small subunit ribosomal RNA", at positions 506 to 784 of the family's 1533-position model. The record is from RNAcentral.
UGCCAGCCGCCGCGGUAAUACGGAGGGUGCAAGCGUUACUCGGAAUUACUGGGCGUAAAGCGAGCGCAGGCGGCUUAUUAAGUCAGGUGUGAAAGCCCGGGGCUCAACCCCGGAACUGCACCUGAAACUGGUAAGCUUGAGGAUGAGAGAGGAAAGUAGAAUUUCUGGUGUAGAGGUGAAAUUCGUUGAUAUCAGAAGGAAUACCCGUGGCGAAGGCGGCUUUCUGGCUCAUUUCUGACGCUGAGGCUCGAAAGUGUGGGUAGCAAACAGGAUUAGAUA